CCCGCGGGGCUCCGGGCGGCCGUGACCCUGCUGGAGUCCGGGGGGGACCUCCAGCCCCCCGGGGGGUCCCUGCGCCUCCUCUGCCGCGCCUCGGGGUUCACUUUCGGCAGUUUUUACAUGUACUGGGUGCGCCAGAGACCCGGGCAGGCGCUGGAGUGGCUCGCAGGGAUCAGCUAUGGUGGUGGCAGCACCGCGUACGCGCCGUCGGUGAAGGGCCGGGUGACGAUCUCCAGGGACAACGGGCAGAGCUCGGUGACGCUGACCAUGAACGGCCUCAAGGACGAGGAUUCCGGCUCCUAUUUCUGUGCCAAAACCACGGUCACUGGUAACGUUAACCCUGCUGAUGAUUUUGGC
Molecule: non-coding RNA, 354 nt
Organism: Vidua macroura (Pin-tailed whydah)
Lineage: Eukaryota; Metazoa; Chordata; Aves; Passeriformes; Viduidae
Source: the annotation of a RefSeq genome assembly